CUUCGGUAUGUACUGGCUUUACUGAUUCCUCCUUCUUGACGAACCGUGAUGUCAUUAAUUUGGUGUUGCGGGAAAUCAGGACUGUUACUUUGAAAAAAUUAGAGUGUUUAAGGCAGGCUAACGCUUGAAUACAUUAGCAUGGAAUAAUGAGAUAGGACGUUUGAUUCUAUUUUGUUGGUUUCUAGGAUCGACGUAAUGAUUAAUAGGGAUAGUUGGGGGCAUUAGUAUUCAAUUGUCAGAGGUGAAAUUCUUGGAUUUAUUGAAGACUAACUACUGCGAAAGCAUUUGCCAAGGAUGUUUUCAUUAAUCAAGAACGAAAGUUAGGGGAUCGAAGACGAUCAGAUACCGUCGUAGUCUUAACCAUAAACUAUGCCGACUAGGGAUCGGAUGAUGUUAAUUUUUUAAUGACUCAUUCGGCGCCUUACG
Molecule: ribosomal RNA, 426 nt
Filed under: uncultured Glomeromycotina
Lineage: Eukaryota; Fungi; Glomeromycota
Description: SSU rRNA
Rfam family: Eukaryotic small subunit ribosomal RNA
Source: RNAcentral